RNA transcript from Populus nigra (black poplar), 2546 nucleotides. RefSeq lists it as uncharacterized. The record is from RefSeq and is a predicted model, not a curated record. The transcript is spliced from 2 exons. NCBI's taxonomy places the organism in Eukaryota, Viridiplantae, Streptophyta, Magnoliopsida, Malpighiales, Salicaceae.
UAGAAGCGGUGCUGGCCGUGUACGGCGACGAUUGUGCAAUUCUCGAUUCUUUCCCUCCUCAUCUUCACCUCCACAGCAAACCCAGAACCGUUGAUAUCUCCUCUCAACAGCGGUUGGAUGCUCCAUGUGUGCUGUAGAUUGUUUGUGAAAUCUUGAAUACCUUUGUAUCGAUACUAAAUUUUGUCCAUAUUCCAUGGUAGUAUCCAAGCGAACCUCUGCAUAUUGAUCUCAUAGAAUCCAAGGGUCUUGAUGGAGAAAGGCAAAAGCAAUUUAUAACUAGUGGACAACACAAAGCAUGUGAACUUUCCUCUUGUUUGAUGCUUGUAGCACUUUGCGAGGUAAUUGCUGCAUUUUUCACAUAACAAGAAUUUUUUCUGCAUUGAUAUUGUUAUUCUAUAUUGUGUUAACGAAUUGAGAAAACCAUAUUAGUUGCCUCGUAUUUCAUAAACAGUAGAAAAUCCUCAUCUUAAUUUGAUCUUUUUUCCAUUUGUCAUAUAUUUGUAGGUAGUCUUUAAGUAAUUGGCUGUUCUGCAAAGUAAAUGCAUGCGCUGUAAUAUUGGGUUUGUGCCAAUUAGCAUUAAGAUUAUGCUCUGAUGCGUCUUAUUCUUUCUGUUUAACAUUUCAGUUGAGGAUUUGAUAUCACAAUGCCUGUUAUUUUCAAGAUAUGAGCAUAAGUUUGAAUUGCCUGCAGUGCUAAAAUAGGUUGUUGGUGUAGAAUCAUCAAGGUAAUAAAAGAUCCUGGAUUGUAAUUUAAUAAUAGUUUUUGGCAGAAUCUAUAUGCACAGUAACCAGGGUGAAAACACAUUCAUGGCAUGCUAUUUUACCAAGUAUUGUGUUUUACCUGGACGCUGCACCAAAAAUAACAGUGAAUGUCUAUUUACUAGAUUUCCAGCACCUUGACAGGAAUGCCUCCAAAUUGCCCAAUCUAAAAUACACAUAGCUUCAGCAGUGAAUUUGUGUAUAUUUGCAGUUUUUCUUUGACUGAUGUAUAGAAGUUGCAAAGAUUCGUUGAUUCUACAUUUUUAGGAAGUGUUGGAGAAGCUCUCUGUUAUGAAUCACCGAGAUGGUGAUUGUCCUCUGUGUUUGUACCCUUUAGUCCCAGAUGAUGAACAACAUGAAGCCUUGGCAUUUAUGAAGUUGAUGUCUUGAUUCCGUUUCUUUCACAGGUAGAGUUCUGAUUUCUUUCUUCUAGAUGAUACUUUACUAGGUUUUAAUUUUGAUUUUGGUCUUUAAAUAUUUUCCCUGUCAUCCUUGUCUUUUUUUCUUCAAACUGUGGCAGUGAAUGCAUUGUCAGAGACAUGAGACAUGGGAAAUCACAAUGGUAUGUCUUAUAAUUGGGCUAAUAGAACAUGUGCUGCCUGGUUAUUAACAUUGUUUUAAUCAAGAAGACAUUGGUUAUUUAACUAUCAUGCUAUUAAUUUUUCUUAAAAUAAGCUGGGGUUAUGAGAUGUGCAUGGAGUAUUGGAAGGAAAAGGGGGUAACUGUCCAGUUGACAGAAAGGUUUUCCAUGCCAAGGGUUAUGAACAUGUGCUUGACUUGAUUCGAACUCAAGCUUCUCAAUCGGUAUGCCAUCAAAAUGAUUGGUAUGCAUCUGAAGUGUAUUUACCAACAGUUUGAACUGGUAAUAGCUGCUUCCAUGAUAAAAACUUCUAAUGAACCCUGUCCGUUUGUUUGGUGGAUUCUUGUUCAUUCAAAUGCAGCAUAUUAAUUACCGAUCUGCGUUGAUCACAGAAUUCUGGAGCAGAGGUCAAAGAUGAGGAGAUGAUCCUUCAUUCUGAUUUAGAGAACUUCAAAAGUUUUACUUUUUUAAAAUUAUUUUAUUUUUAAAAAAUAUACUUUGAAAUUUUUUACAUAUCUUCCACGACCUGCCACGCCGCCACAUCACAACCUGCCACGUCACCUGCUCAAACAUAAACUAAAAAUAUAUUUGAAAAUACGGUGCAAAUUAUAUUUUUAAAAAAUUUAUUUAUUUAUAUUUUGUUAAAAUUUAAUAUGGUUUGUAUGUUUUAGAUUAUUUUAAUAUGCUGAUAUUAAAAAUAAUUUUUAAAAAUUAAAAAAAAUUAUUGGUAUCAUUUCACUAUAAAAAAUUAUUUAAAAAAUAACCACUACCAUACUCUCACCCUCUAAAACACUACUUAGCAUCAAGGGAAACAAAAUUCUCACCCUCUAAAAUACUACUUAGAUGGUUCAUAGACCCCGUGCCAGAAAGCCCAGGAACUCAGGCAAGAGGAAGCAGAGAGUACAAAAUUCAAGAAGAUCAGUCAGUCAGUGGGUCAGAAGAGAGAAUGGUACUGCAGACUAAUUAGAAGGUACAGAAAUUGUGGCUUCUUUUUUGAAAUUGGUUUAUGCUAAAAUAUCUAGGGAAUUGAAUAUUCAUGCGAGCAUGCGAGAGAGAUGCAAGCUUGCGAGGUGCAGUGUGAUUUGUUAUGUUGGUGAAAAUCAGCUAUCAUGUGUAUUCCUUUCUUCCAUGGUGCCGCUAUCUGUAAACCGAUAAACCUCAACCAUCAUCGAUUUAUUUUUUUGAAGUUGGUUAUUUUCGUAGAUAA